CUUACUCAGUCCUCUAUCGUGCAGACACAGAUCACAACCUCAGCAGCAGCUCAGCACUGAAAUGUGGAUCCUCUCCUGCGUCCUCAUUGGCUCUCUGGCCUCUUCUUUGCCCGAAAAUCACACCACCACACCUCCACCUGCAUCAAAACCUUCACCGACAUCCACACAUCCACCUGCAUCUGCCUCCGUCACUCCUUCUCCAUCACUCAUUCCUGUGUUGUCAUCUAUUGGAUCAGUGUGUUCUGUGGUUCUGCUGAUGUUAGUGGUUCUGGUGGUGAAACGAUGGGUAUGUGGAAAACCCAAAGAGGAUGCAGAAGAAGUUAGAGAAAAUGACAUCACAGAUGGCAUCAUAUACAGUGAAAUCAUAACCUCAAAUUAUCAACAGCAGCCAGCCAGACAGAGCCCAGGUAAGAGUGAUCCAGCUACAAUCUACUCAGAAGUGAGAACCAGUUAUGAACAAAUUGGCUUCAGAGCAAACAGACCUGCAGAUUUUCUGGAGCCAGAGGUCAUUUACUCCAAUCUCCAGUAGUCGACCAGUCCAGCCAGUGGAGUCCAGCUGCUCUACUUGUGUUGUCCUGUGGGUUUCAUGAAGAUGACUGAUGGAAAAUUUGAAUUGACUGAUAAAACAUCUGUCUUCUGAUCAGAUAGGAAACAAACAAAUUAACUGCAACCACAGACUAUAAACAGCAUGAGCAUCGCUACAUUGUGUGGGUUACAAGCAGCAAUUUAUAUGUCAGCUUUCAGAAACUCAAUGAACUGUUUCAUUAUUAAAUUAAAAGCAUUCUGUGCUUUCAAACUCAGAAUUGUGACUUUUGGUUUGAUGAAACAGAAAACAUUUCAUCAUGUUUAAUCAGACCCCCCUCCCACCCAAAAAAAACUAUAGUAUUAAAAUUCAACUCAGUUAAUUCAGUUGCAUUUGUACAGCAAAUAAAAAGAUCACAGCAACAGUCGCCCCGAGGUGCUUAAACUGGACAGCUCCCCUGAUCCCGUUGAUUAUAGGAAGUGUCAGCACCUUUCAUAAUAAGAGCAUGGAAAUUAUGAAAAAAUUCUAGAACCACAGAUAAUCAUGCUUCCAUCAGAUAACAUGUAUUUUAAAUGUGAAACAUAGAGACAGCGAACAUAAAGAAGAACAUAGACAUGACGUUAGUUUUGUGGUUUCAGGCCUUCAGAGUCUGCUGCCAUCUACUGCUAUUACUGGGUAUUAGCAAAUGACAACAAGAAAAAACCUGUAAACUACUUAAUGUCUAUAUGUUGUGAUAAGUUUAUAGUUAGUUAUUCAGAGUUAAAAUGUUUUUAUUGUUCAUGAAGGAUUACCAGACUGAAAAUACAUCAUAUAAACUCUUACACAUUUUUCUGUAUCUCUCCCACAUGUGAUGAAUGCCUGUUACUGGAUGAAUAUGAACAUUCUUUGUUUAAAUGUGACUCUUUGUUGGGGCAAAAUAAACAAAAGGAACUCAAUUGUUAUCGAA
Molecule: long non-coding RNA, 1469 nt
Organism: Oreochromis aureus
Lineage: Eukaryota; Metazoa; Chordata; Actinopteri; Cichliformes; Cichlidae
Source: Ensembl